CUCCAGGACAUCAGCUUGCAUCUAAGCCCUGGACAAAUUCUAGUGUCCCAGCUAAAGGAGCAGAGCAAGACAAUCCAAAGGAAGCAGGAGAAGGUGAACGUGAGGACAGAAUAGCAAGCUGGUGGGUCUACUGAAGCCUUAACAAGUCUUGUCCCAUGCUACAAGAUUUGGAAAUGUCAGGAGGUUCAAAAGCAUAACCCUCAAGCUUUGCAGGAAAAAGUAUUCCUUCUGGCACCUUAUUUCUGCACCCCAAAAAGUGACUUCAUUCCUGUGAAACAAUGGAGAGUCUCCAAAAGAGAGGAAGAGGCAGAAAGUGAAGCAAUGAAGUAAAAAAAGUAUGAAAACAUCAGGAAGAGGAGGAAGGAGUCCUGAAGAUGGAUCAUGGAGGAAAGGGUGAAGGAGGGGAAAGUGACAGGAAAGAUCAAGAAAAGAAGGGGAAAAGGGUCCUGGUGGCGAAUGCGGCUGCCUCCCCUGCAGAGAGGCUGAGCCUGGAGGGAGCAAGAAGCUCAGCUGCACCGGGCACCUGCAGGAGAAGGACUCAUCGCUCCGUGCUGGUACCGUUGUCGGCAGUGCUCUCGCCGACUGCAAGACUGGUGGAAGCAUCAAAGGGGUGCCCUUGGAAUGUGUGCCUAAUGAUGAUCAAUGAAAAUAGAAGCCCUGUUGCAGCGAGACUCAUGAGGUCCUGCUCACAGCUGGCACACGGAGGCAUGGCUGUAAAAAGAAGAUGCUGGGCAUUAGGACUGAUAGUCCCACCAGAUUCCUCCUCACCUUGGAAAACCCUUGUCUCCUCCCAGCAGGGGAGAUGGGCCGCCUGUCCUGGUGUGGAUAGUGGUGUGCCAGCCAGAUGCUCUGCGAGCAGAUGCUUUGCCUCCUAG
Molecule: long non-coding RNA, 875 nt
Filed under: Anas platyrhynchos platyrhynchos (common mallard)
Lineage: Eukaryota; Metazoa; Chordata; Aves; Anseriformes; Anatidae
Description: lncRNA (ENSAPLG00000024136.1)
Source: RNAcentral